CUAGCUAAACUGAUAUGCUAAUUAAAGUAAUAUGGUUCUGCUAACUUUUCUAUGUGCUAAUGUAAUUAAUCUUCCAAAGGGAAGUAUGAAAGAAACAAAAGAAUAAACUAUAAAGAGGAAAGGCAUAUGAUCCAGAGCCUUCUAAGGCGUGAACAUGACAGUUGCCGGUUCUACCGCCACAUUGCCUAGCUAGCCAUGAACAACUACUAAUUCCAAUUAUUAUUCAUGCCCGAUGUUGAAGUUCAAGAUGCACCUCUAUUUAUGUCCGACCAAUUCCAGGGUGAGGGAUUUUCCUACCAGUUCAAUAUGUCCAAAGUGAAGAAAGAAAAGAGAAGUGAGAAAUGCGCAAACGUACACUUUCAAUUGCCAUGGUCUGCUGAAUUGAUUAAUUUGUUGGAAGGUCAACCAAUGUUAAUUAUUGUUAUCGACCUUCUUGCUAUCGUUUUAGUGGCUCUUAAUAUUGGUGAUCUAUAGAGAAGUCCACCCUAUAUGGAGAGUAUGGAGCAUACAGAGCUAUAGAGAAAACAAAUGCUACUGCAAUUUCUUGGGCUAGCUUGCCUCCUGAAACCUGAAUUGCUUUGAGAUAUGAUUGAAGGAUUUGGCUUUCCCAAUGGUCUUUGGUUGGUUAUUCAGUACUCUUGGAUUUAUUAGUUAUGUUUCCUCAACACAAACAUUAGAUUACUAUAGUGAACUGCGACAUACUCACAGUUCAGGUAAGAAAUUGAUAUUUAUUUUGUAUCUGUUAAUACACGUGUUGUAGCUAUUUGAGUUUGAGUGGUUUGGAUAGAUGGAACGGUAGGUUUUCAUUGUUGUAGUAGAUAUUUGAGUUUGAGUGU
Molecule: long non-coding RNA, 836 nt
Organism: Lolium rigidum
Lineage: Eukaryota; Viridiplantae; Streptophyta; Magnoliopsida; Poales; Poaceae
Exons: 3
Source: RefSeq, a predicted model, not a curated record